UUAUGUUAUAGUACUUUAUACAUAUUGAGCAUUUGAAUAAUGUGAAUAAAAUAAAUGACCCAUAACCAACCGUCCCUAGCGCAAGUGGCAAAAGGACUUGAUGGUUGGUACCCGAGACCUAAGUUCGAAUCCUAGUUGAUUCACAUUUCCAGCUAAGUUUAUUUCUAAAUGAAAUAAACGAAGCGGAUAGUAUGCUACCUUUCUCUCAAAAAAAUUAAAUGACCCAUAAUUAAUAUUUUGUUCAAAAAAAAAAGGUUAGAUUAAAUCUCUUUUUAUAUUAUCACAUCAGUAAAAUUACUGGUAUCCUAGUAGUAAGACAUCAAAUAGAUUUGAAAUGUUCUCAAAUUUGAGUUCUAGGGGUACUAAAUUCGAUAGGAUUACAGAAGAACAAGUUUUCAAUUUUCAAAAAUAAAAAAAAUCUCUUUUUAUAUUUGUGAUGCCCAAUAGUCCCGUAUCGAAUGAAAAUGGAUUAUGACCGAAUUGUGAAACAAUCAUUGUACCCUAAGGUAUCGUUUGGUUCGGGGAUAAGAAAAAAGUGGCUAUUCUAGGAAUAGGUAUAAAUUGAGGUAUAAGCGAGGAUUAGAUCAAUUUUGUGUUUGGAUGAAAAUUCGGUUAUUCCUGGAAUAAAAAAAAUAGCGUUUGGUUAGGUAAGAUGGAAUACGAAAGAUAAUGGAUUUUGUAAAUAAAAAAUAAUGAUAUUAUCCACUUAUUAUAUUUGAAUUAAUUUUAAAAUUUAAAUCUUUAUAUUUAAAUUUUUAAAUUUUUAAGUNGUGGUGGGAACAAUUAAUAAAAAUAAUUUAUUAUAAUAAAUUUAUAAAUUUUUUAAAAAUUCUACUUAAAUUUUAAUUUAAUAAAAAGAAUUUAUUAUAAUAUUUAAAUAUAAUUUAUUAUAAAUUUUAUUAUAAUAUUUAAAUAUAAAUAAUAUGUAUUAAUAUAGUACAAUUAAUAAUUUUAUAAUAAAAAUAAUGUAUUAUAAUAUAUAACAUAUUAUAUUUAUAUAAUUUAGUUUAAUUCAAUUUAUAAGUUUAAUUAAGUUUGAAAUUAAGCAUUGGAAUAGCACUAUUCCACCAAAAUGGUGGAAUAGCAAAUCCCUUGCUAUUCCGGAAUAACCAAAAAUAGCAAGGUUUGACCGGGAUAAAAUAUCCCGGCCAAAUUUCACCCCGUUUGGCGGAAUAGCGGGGAUAACUUUCGUUAUUCCCGCUUAUCCCGCAAUCCAAACGGGGCCUUAAAAGCUUAAAGUGUUAGAGAACGGUAUUUAAAUAUUUUUAUAUUUAACACUCUUCCUCACCUGGGCUUGAAUUAAAUGGGAGGAAAUUAAUAUGCUAGGAGCCUGGCGUGACUUGAACUCAGGAUCUCCUGCUCUGAUACCAUGUGAAACAAUCGUGUACUUUAAAAGGUUAAGUUGUUAGAGAACAGUGUUUAAACAUUUUUAUAGUUAACACGAAUAUGUAAGGACUUACCACUUUAAUA
Molecule: long non-coding RNA, 1470 nt
Filed under: Ananas comosus (pineapple)
Lineage: Eukaryota; Viridiplantae; Streptophyta; Magnoliopsida; Poales; Bromeliaceae
Description: long non-coding RNA (ACOM_LNC018638)
Source: RNAcentral